Molecule: long non-coding RNA, 784 nt
Organism: Pseudopipra pipra
Lineage: Eukaryota; Metazoa; Chordata; Aves; Passeriformes; Pipridae
Exons: 3
Source: RefSeq, a predicted model, not a curated record
GGGAGUGGAGCACAAGUGGUGUGAGGAGAGGCUGAGGGAGCUGGGGGUGUUGAGGCUGGAGAAGAGGAGGCUCAGGGGAGACCUCCUGACUCUCUGCAAGUCCCUGCCAGGAGGGUGUAGCCAGGUGGGGGUGGGGCUGUUCUGCCAGGAAGCAGCAGUAGGACAAGAGGGCUGGGUCUGGAGCUGUGCCAGGGGAGGUUUAGGUUGGAUAUUAGGAAGGAAUUUUUUCGGGAGAGAGUAAUCAGGCCUUGGAAUGGGCUGGGCAGGGAGGAGGUGGAGUCAGCGUCCCUGGAGGUGUUGAAGGUGAGAGUGGAUGUGGCAUCAGUGCCAUGGUCUGGGAAGCACGGCGGGGUUGGAUCCAGGGUGGGACUCAAUGAUCUCGGAGGUCUUUUCCAACCCAGCUGAUUCUGUGAUUCUCUGAUUGCCAUUCCUAUGGCAGCACAUGCUUGAGGCUCCAUCCCCAGGGUGAUAGAGAUGUCUGUCCAUAUCUAUCUCCAAGGUUCCUGUCCUUGAGCCCAGGCCCUGAGGUGAGGCUGAGAAGUGGCCCAGAGGUGAGCCCAGAGCUGUCCCUGAGGUGAGGCUGAGAAUAAGUGCAAGGCAGAGGUGCUGCUGAGGAAGGAGAGCCCCGUGGUGGGGAAGAGACAAAGCUGGGAGUGCCCAUCCCCGAGAAGGUUCUGUCUCCAUCCCCUGUGUGCCAGGAUUUGUCCUUCCCAAAGCUUGGGCGGAUGGAGGAGGAGGCUGCGAGGAAGAGGAAGAUGCCUUGGGCCCCCCAGGCAGGUGAGGA